GUAAUAACAAACGUAAACGUCGUCUAUUGUUUCCCGUUAUUUAACGUUGUUUCAACGACGUCAUAACGGAAUCACCAUUGGAAUUGCUUUGGCCGUCUGGAAAGGGCGGGUUCUUUCAUCAAAGGAAAGGGUACGGCGGGAAUCGGCAAAAAACUCAUACAGAAUAUUGACAGAAAUAGAACUCAAAUCUUUAAAGAUAUCUUUGUCGUCUUGGUCUAUUAUAAAAGAACCGCAAUUAUCUAGAUCAUUAUAGACCAUACUCACUUAAGUUUCCGUUUUAUUGAAAUUAUCUUCAAUACAGUAGAGAACAACGAGAACAAAUGCGUAAUGAUAUAUCAUUGCAUUAGAAUGCAAAUUGUAAUAAAUUCUUUACCAAACUUUUCCGAGAUUUUGUCAUUCAGGAUAGAAAACUCAGUUUGGUUUUACUUAAGAAAGAUGAAAAAACUGGUUUCUUGAGAAAAAAUUAGAUACGGCGUAAACUAACAUUUAUCAUGCAUCUAGCUUUGCGUUGCAGUCCUAAUAUACAGUAUAUACAUAAUAUAGUAGAUCUUUAAAUGAAUACGACCUUUAACUGGUAAACAAAAGAUGACACUGUAAUAAAUUGAAAUAGGAAAACAUUGUAAUAUAUACACUGACAUGCAAGUAGAAAAUAUCUGACGAUUUUAAUGUUUACUUAUGUAUGAGGAACAAAUAUAAUUUAGCCAAAAAAAAACCCGGUGUAGGUCUUGAUGUAGGUCUUGACUAAUUAGACACACUCUCAUAAAAUCAGCGGGUCCAUAAUAGGAUAGGGAAAAAACAGCCAUCAAAAUACCAUAAUUCAAAACUGGGGAAAAGGGGGGAGGGCUAAUAGCUUAACUCAAGACUUCGAUCUUAUUCAACUUUAUUCUAGUACGGCAUACGUUUUACCGCUAGCAAACUCUUUAUCUUAAUAAUGUAUCAAUGAUUUACUUCAGUUCCACUUUCGCCUCGCCCUAAAUAUGCGUGAUAUAUUUGCCACUGGAGCACGGGAGCAAUCAA
RNAcentral lists this long non-coding RNA (1017 nucleotides) under Mytilus galloprovincialis (Mediterranean mussel). The record is from RNAcentral. Lineage: Eukaryota; Metazoa; Mollusca; Bivalvia; Mytilida; Mytilidae.